RNAcentral lists this unclassified non-coding RNA (376 nucleotides) under soil metagenome. RNAcentral describes it as "partial contains 5.8S ribosomal RNA, internal transcribed spacer 2, and large subunit ribosomal RNA". The stretch from base 1 to 120 matches the Rfam family "5.8S ribosomal RNA", at positions 35 to 154 of the family's 154-position model. The record is from RNAcentral.
GAUGAAGAACGCAGCGAAAUGCGAUAAGUAAUGUGAAUUGCAGAAUUCAGUGAAUCAUCGAAUCUUUGAACGCAUCUUGCGCUCCUUGGUAUUCUGAGGAGCAUACCUGUUUGAGUGUCAUUAAAUUCUCAACUACACUGACUUUGAAUUGGUGUGGCUUGGAUUUGGGGGGAAAAUUGUUGUGGGCUUUUUGUAUAGUCUGCUCCCCUGAAAUUGAUUAGCGGUACCUUUGUGGAACUGUCUACAGGUGUGAUAAUUAUCUACAUCUUAGACAUCUGCUGGAAUGCUGCUUUCUAAACCUUACUUGUAUUGACAAUCUUGACCUCAAAUCAGGUAGGACUACCCGCUGAACUUAAGCAUAUCAAUAAGCGGAGGA